GAUGAACGCUGGCGGCGUGCCUAAUACAUGCAAGUCGAGCGAACAGACAAGGAGCUUGCUCCUCUGACGUUAGCGGCGGACGGGUGAGUAACACGUGGAUAACCUACCUAUAAGACUGGGAUAACUUUGGGAAACCGGAGCUAAUACCGGAUAAUAUAUUGAACCGCAUGGUUCAAUAGUGAAAGACGGUUUUGCUGUCACUUAUAGAUGGAUCCGCGCCGCAUUAGCUAGUUGGUAAGGUAACGGCUUACCAAGGCGACGAUGCGUAGCCGACCUGAGAGGGUGAUCGGCCACACUGGAACUGAGACACGGUCCAGACUCCUACGGGAGGCAGCAGUAGGGAAUCUUCCGCAAUGGGCGAAAGCCUGACGGAGCAACGCCGCGUGAGUGAUGAAGGUCUUCGGAUCGUAAAACUCUGUUAUUAGGGAAGAACAAAUGUGUAAGUAACUAUGCACGUCUUGACGGUACCUAAUCAGAAAGCCACGGCUAACUACGUG
This 497-nucleotide ribosomal RNA is filed under the name uncultured bacterium. RNAcentral describes it as "partial 16S ribosomal RNA". It matches the Rfam family "Bacterial small subunit ribosomal RNA", at positions 28 to 507 of the family's 1533-position model. The record is from RNAcentral.